Leopardus geoffroyi (Geoffroy's cat) is the source of this 1099-nucleotide long non-coding RNA. RefSeq lists it as uncharacterized. The transcript has 3 exons. Lineage: Eukaryota; Metazoa; Chordata; Mammalia; Carnivora; Felidae. The record is from RefSeq and is a predicted model, not a curated record.
CCGAUAUCAAGCACACAACAACAUAGCUCAUGACACCUUGCUUAUCCACACUCCCACAGGACAGCAGUGAUAAAAAUUAAGCCAUGAAUAACAGUUCGACUAAACCAUAUUAAAUUAGGGUUGGUAAAUUUCGUGCCAGCCACAACGGUCAUACAAUUAACCCAACCUAAUAGACCUAUGGUGUAAAGUAUGUUAAAGAGGAGCCUCGUGCUAAAAUUAAAUUUUAACUAGGCUGUAAAAAGCUACAGUUAACAUAAAAAUAUAACACCAAAGUAACUUUAACACCUCUGACCACAUGAUAGCUAAGACCCAAACGGGGAUUAGCUAUCCCACUAUGCUCAGCCCUAAACUUAGCUAGCUAAACAAAUCUACCCUCCAGAGAUCUACUAGCAACAGCUUAAAACUCAAAGGACUUGGCGGUGCUUUAUAUCCUCUAGAGGAGACUGUUCUAUAAUCAAUAAACCCUGAUAUACCUCACCACCCCUUGCUAAUCCAGUCUAUAUACUGCCAUCUUCAGCAAACCCCAAAAAGGAAGAAAAGUAAGCACAAGUAUCUUAACAUAAAAAAGUUAGGUCAAGGUGUAAUCUAUGAGGUGGAAAGUAAUGGGCUACAUUUUCUAUAUUAGAACAUAUUUCCAUGAAAGCCCUUAUGAAAUUAAGAACCCAAGGAGGAUUUAGUAGUAAAUUGAGAAUAGAGAGCUCAAUUGAAUUGGACCAUGAAGCACGCACACAAUGCCUGUCACCCCCCUCAAGUGACAAAAAUCCAAAGAUAACCUAUUCAGACUAUAAAAAACACAAGAGGAGACAAGUUGUAACAAGGUAGGCAUACCAGAAAAUGUGCUUGGAUAAAACAAGAUGUAGCUUAAACAAAGCAUCUUGUUUAUACCCAGGAGAUUUCAUAUCAAACUGACCAUAUUGAGCCAAAAUUAGCCCAAACCAACAUAAAUUCAAUUAACAUAAAACAAUAAAUCAAAACAUUUAGUUAAUUCUUAAAAGUAUAGGAGAUAGAAAUUUAAUUUGGCACUAUAGAGAAAGUACCAUAAGGGAAAGAUGAAAGAAAAAUUAAAAGCCCUAACAGAUGGAGAAGAGCACACGUUUGA